This 414-nucleotide long non-coding RNA is filed under the name Setaria viridis. RNAcentral's name for it is "long non-coding RNA (SVIR_LNC002872)". Lineage: Eukaryota; Viridiplantae; Streptophyta; Magnoliopsida; Poales; Poaceae. The record is from RNAcentral.
GGUAGUGUUGUUUGUGUAUUCAUAGGGGUGAGUGUGUGAGCAUCUCUUCAUUGUGUUUCAAAAAAAAGAAGAUAUUUUAUAACUUCUUGAUUUGUACAAAGGGAUAUACUGCACUGGUAGUGGUAACCCCUAAAAAUUGGAAGAAACUUUGUUUUUUUCCUUGGAAUGAUCAUCGGGCGGCCUUGUACCAAGGAAUUCUUACACAGAGUUACAUUCUUCUGCUAAAAACAAGAAUGUGUCCUUGCUAAAGGCUGCAGCUACAGAACAUUUUCAGACCUCGUUCCAUCUGCCUUUAUCCCACAAGCCUAUGACCAAGUUCCAAUUGCUUGCCGAACAUCUUGAGUUCUUGACAACUGCCCCUUCACUAAAGAAGAUGACACCUGGACUUACAUUUGAGGCAAUUGCACUUUGAAA